Non-coding RNA from Myodes glareolus (Bank vole), 159 nucleotides. Lineage: Eukaryota; Metazoa; Chordata; Mammalia; Rodentia; Cricetidae. The record is from RefSeq and is a predicted model, not a curated record.
CUCACAGAGAUCUACCUGCCUCUGCUCACCAAGUGCUGGGCUUAAAGAUGGAGUUUCUCUGUGUAGUCCUGGCUGCCCUGCAACUCACUUUGUUGACCAGGCAGGCUUCAAAGUUGUAAAGACAUGGGCCAAGAUACAAUAAAACCAUUUCCCACACCA